CGGUCUGUAGCUCAAUGGCAAGAGCGCCGGUCGCUGAAACCGGAUGCGUGAGUUCGAAUCUCACCAGGCCAUC
Molecule: transfer RNA, 73 nt
Filed under: Chitinophaga cymbidii
Lineage: Bacteria; Pseudomonadati; Bacteroidota; Chitinophagia; Chitinophagales; Chitinophagaceae
Description: tRNA-Gln
Rfam family: tRNA
About the family: Transfer RNA (tRNA) molecules are approximately 80 nucleotides in length. Their secondary structure includes four short double-helical elements and three loops (D, anti-codon, and T loops).
Source: RNAcentral